GUUGCCACACCCCCAAACUCUCCCUUUCCUCCAAUGGACUUUCAUUUCAAACAGCCCCUUCCAGCUCCCUUCUUUUAUCUUUAAAGGUGAGGAUACUGAAGUUCUAUGAAAUAGAAUUGCUUGCCAAUAUCCAGAGCUAAUUAGGGCAGAUCGGGACCAGAAACCAGAUCUCCUGACUCAGAUAUGGUUAUAUUUCCAUCUGCUUCAUUUUACAUAUACAGAAGCCAAAGUUGGAGACUGAAUGCCCAUGGUCACACAGAUCUGUCUCCUCCCCAACACGGUGCAACCAGAGGGCUGAGACCCAUAUCUGAUUCCUCUCCAAUCCCCAACAUUCAAUAAAUUUUUGUUGAGUUCACAAAGGCAGCCACCUGGAGAAGCUUGGGAUACACCAGAGUAACAAAGCCAUGAUUUGGAAUGUUCCUGCUCCUUCUCCAUAGGCAGCUACAGAUCCCUGAGCGCACUCACCUGAAUUUCUUCAGCAAGAGCAACCAACUCAAAGACAUCUUUGUGCACUAAGAAAGGAUGCCCUGUGUGGAAAGAGUCAAAAGUCAUAGGGAUCCGCACCUGGUGGGCUAGGAGGCAAGAAGAAAAGCUCCAUCCUCUUAAUUAAG
Molecule: long non-coding RNA, 611 nt
Organism: Leopardus geoffroyi (Geoffroy's cat)
Lineage: Eukaryota; Metazoa; Chordata; Mammalia; Carnivora; Felidae
Exons: 4
Source: RefSeq, a predicted model, not a curated record